GACGAACGCUGGCGGCGUGCCUAAUACAUGCAAGUCGAACGCAGUGGGGACGGGUGAGUAACACGUGGGUAACCUCCCAUAAGAGGGGAUAACCCUUGGAAACAGGUGCUAAACCGCUACUGAUGGAUGGACCCGCGGUGCAUUAGCUAGUUGGUGGGGUAACGGCUCACCAAGGCAACGAUGCAUAGCCGGCUGGAGAGGAUGAUCGGCCACCCUGGGACUGAGACACGGCCCAGACUCCUACGGGAGGCAGCAGUGGGGAAUCUUGGGCAAUGGACGAAAGCCUGACCGAGCAACGCCGCGUGAGUGAAGAAGGCUUUCGGGUCGUAAAGCACUGUUGUCAGAGAAGCGUUACUUAACGAGAAAGCCACGGCUAACUACGUGCCAGCAGCCGCGGUAAUUC
Molecule: ribosomal RNA, 403 nt
Filed under: uncultured bacterium
Lineage: Bacteria
Description: partial 16S ribosomal RNA
Rfam family: Bacterial small subunit ribosomal RNA
Source: RNAcentral